CGUAAAUUGUAAUCCGCGGCAAUAUAGCAAACUACUCGAUCUGCGCUUUGCAGCCGCUAUUUAUACUCUCCCCGGCUCAAGACUGCGCCAUCUUCUCCUCCAUGGGAUAUAGCACAGCCAUCUGAAGUCUUUUUGUCUCCAUUUUAAGAUAGACACCAUCUGAACUUGAACUCGGAGUCAGUGACCAGCAUGAGUGAUCGCAGGUAUGGGUACUCGUACCCGCAAAACCAAGGGUACUACAACGGACCGCCGGUGAUGGCGCCGCCGCAGUACGCCCCGCCACCGAGACGGCAGACGGGCUUCCUCGAAGGAUGCCUUGCCGCUCUGUGCUGCUGCUGCCUCGUCGACGAGUGCUGCUGCGACCCAUCCAUCAUAUUCGUCACCUGACCUCGCGCCAGAUGGCGACUGACCAGCGAUCCGGCCUGAGCUAUAUGCCUAUACAUGUGUACUGUGUUACAUGAAUGAGUGAGUAUAUGUGUGUUUGUCUUUCGUUGUUGUACGUUUGAGCCUAUGUAUGCAUCACAGUAGAGAAACAGCCAAGCCACGGCAGUUGCGCACAGGGUCUCCAGGACGACGAAGAACUAGACAGAUGCUCACCAGCUCGUGGCCUGAUCCGGCAGUAGGUGGUGUUGUUGACUGAUUGCACUACACAUAUACAUAAGCUGUGCACUAUAGCUAGUUGCGUAGUCUCUAAUCUGCAAUUAUGAAUACACAGGACGAUAAGUCUGUAUAUA
Molecule: long non-coding RNA, 734 nt
Organism: Lolium rigidum
Lineage: Eukaryota; Viridiplantae; Streptophyta; Magnoliopsida; Poales; Poaceae
Exons: 3
Source: RefSeq, a predicted model, not a curated record